UACGGGGGGGGUGAGCGUUGUUCGGAAUUACUGGGCGUAAAGGGUCUGUAGGUGGCUUGCUAAGUCAGACGUGAAAUCCCUCAGCUUAACUGGGGAACUGCGUCUGAGACUGGCGAGCUUGAGUGCAGGAGAGGAACGCGGAAUUCCAGGUGUAGCGGUGAAAUGCGUAGAUAUCUGGAGGAACACCGGUGGCGAAGGCGGCGUUCUGGACUGCAACUGACACUGAGAGACGAAAGCCAGGGGAGCAAACGGG
This 253-nucleotide ribosomal RNA is filed under the name uncultured bacterium. Its description in RNAcentral is "partial 16S ribosomal RNA". It matches the Rfam family "Bacterial small subunit ribosomal RNA", at positions 524 to 776 of the family's 1533-position model. The record is from RNAcentral.